GUUUCAAUGGGUCAGUGGUAGGUGGAUAAAUAAGAAAUUACAUCUUUAUGAAAAAUUAGAAGCCACAGCUCCAAAUUUCAUACCAUUUCCCAAAUGUUCCUCUCAUAGACUUUUUUUUUUAUGAGGCAAAAAUAUGCUUCUGCAUCCCCUGCUUGUUUUUCUAAAAUGAAUUAAUUUGGUACAUGCAGUUAGAAUCUCCUCCUGGAUUCUUCAGGACUCCUGUCUAUCCCAACCUAACCUGCUUCGCUUUGCUUGAAUGAUGGGGGUGGGAAGAAAAAUCCAAGAGAAGAGCCUUCUGAUCAAUUCAAAAUCAAGAUGAAUAUAGCAAAAGAACGAUUUUAUUUUUUUUCUAGUUGAUAUAGAACCCAAACUGCUAGUAAAAAGAUAGACAGUGGGGGGAAGAUGAAAGAUCUUGCAAACUUCUUUCAGAUGGGAAGGUUUGCUUUCUUUCCCUUAAAAAAGAAAAGUAGGCAAGUCACUACACAUUUCUCACUCCAAAUCCCAUUAAACUUAAAAUUAAUGAAAAUUUCUAAAGUCACUGGAAGUAGAUGAUCUGUCAUGCAGUAGAUUGUCUGCCGGCCUUCUCAAGAUUGUCAAUAGGAAAUGUGGGUGUGAGGAAGAUGCCUGAGAAACUGCUUGCCAUUUUUAAGACUAAGGAUUUUUUUAAUAGCAAUUUUACUCAGUUUAAUCUGUUUGUGAAGUUAAAAUUCUGGAAACAAGGGCGCAGCCAAUCUGAAAUAACCUUACUGAGUAAUCAUCUAACCCUGUCUCUGCACCUGGAAGUAAAAGAAUUCAGCAUUAUGUGAGGAAGAAUGCUCGCCAUGACCCAGUUCUAUCCUUCACUGCAUAACUUUCUCUCCUGAAAGCACUGAUUGAUUUCAAAGAGACUACUGCAGAGAGAUCGUCUGGGAUGUGAAGAGAAUUAGAAUUGGACCCAAAGGUACAAAUGUAACUGGUGCUAAAAAUAGCUCACACUUUAGAAAGUUGAUUAACACACACACAAAAAGAAGUUAUUAAAAUGUUCAAUUAGAAUCUCUGCAGCUUGGAGAUUCUAUUUUUAAUCUUUAAGGUAUUAUGUAUGCAAAAUGCAGAAGGGUGUGAACCUUACUAGGAACAGGAAAAUAAAGAGAGGGAGCUGCAAAUGCUUCCUUUGAGAAGCAGCCACAGAGAGGUUGAUGGCAGCAGAAAUUAUUAUUACUGCAAAUAUGUCCAGUCCAUUAUGUCCAUCCAUUAUCAUGGCAAAAAAAAUCUUAUAAUUCUUUUUACUUUGUGAUCCCAGAAAUUCUUUUUAAUAUGAAUUUUAGAAAUUCCAUAUCCUAGAUUUAGUGUUUACUUACAUUCAUUCUUAUACUCCCUGACCACAUUAAAAAUAGAAUAUCAAUUAAUUGUAAAUAUUAGUUGGUAAUAUAAAAAUCCAUUUGCUUCUAGAAUUAGCGCAAUUAUCUAUCAGGGUUGCUCAAACAGCAACUUCAAAGUACCCCUUGAUUCCUUCUUCAAUCUCACUCCUCACAGCCAAUCACCAGGUCAUGUCAAUUUUGCCUCUUAAAUAACACUCAAAUCACCCACUUCUCUCCAUCCCCAUGGUUACAGCUCUAGUCCAAUCUACCAAACUCUCCUGCCUAACCUAUUACAAAAACCUCCCUACACUUUCCCAAAUGCACUGUGUUCUCCUCCUCUAUCCAUUCUCCAUUUUGCACAGUAAUUGAAAUCACAACAUAUGGCUAUUUAUUUCUCUUUUUAAAAACUUCUGGGGGCACCUUGGUGGCCCAGUGGUUGAGCAUCUGCCUUUGGCUCAGGUUAUGAUCCUGGGGUCCUAGGAUCAAGUUGUACAUUGGGCUCCCAGUAGGGACCCUGCUUCUCCCUCUACCUACCUCUCUGCCUCUCUCUGUGUCUCUCAUGAAUAAAUAAAAAUUAAAAAAAAACCCUUUCUGAUGAUUUCUUCUCACUGUUAAGUAGUCCAGUAUCCUCAAUAGGUUUUAAAAAACCUUCACAAGCCAGCUCCUGCCAAGUCUCCACCUCAUGUGGGUAUUCACCUUGCUUCACCUUGCUUUCUCUGCUCUAGGACAAGGAGCUUCUUGUGGUUCUUCAAAUUAACAUCUUUUAACUGAGGGGGGUUUUGUAUGCUCUUUCCUCUGCCUGAAAUGCUUGUCUCUUUGGCUGGCUAACUUCUCAUUUUUAGAGUCAUACCCCAAGAAUGCCUCUAUUAUAUGUAAAAGACAUGUUUUCCUAUAUGUCUUCAUAUCCUUAAUCAUACUACUGGUUAUUCAUAUAAUGUCUCCUUACCUUGCUAAUAUUUAUGACAGCAGUGACAUGAUCAUUGUAUUUCUUGGCACCAAGUGUAGUUCGUGGUUAAUUAAAUAAUAAUUACUUAUUAGAUGAAUGAUCGAAUGAAGUGCCAUUCUAUAUAUAAUAUAGAAACUAAAAAAAGGAGAGUCUUUUUUUGCUCAAAGGAAAAUGAAAGGGAGGAAAGCUUUCAGAGAAAAUUAUGUUUACUAUGGGUCUUGAAAAAUAAGCAGGAUGUCAGGUAGAAAGAGCUGGUGGAUUGUUCCCAGAACUGGGACUGGUACAGGUGAAAGCACUGAAGUGAAUGAAGUGUUUGGGGCUUGGUGAGUUCUCUGUGACUAGACUAGAUGAGGAAGGAAAUGAUUAUAGCUACUGUUGGUAAAGAUAAUUCAGGUUCAGGAUGUUACAAGCUUUUAUGCUAUCUCCUAAGUAGUUCAGUUCUAACAGGGGAGCAAAAUGAUCAUAACAAUUAAUAAAAUUGCACAGGUGUUAGCAUAUUACUAGUGUAAGCACUUGAUACAACACAUGUACCUUUUAUUUUCUUUGACUAAAAUUGUUGUCAAGUGGAUUAAUUCAUCUUCAAAUAUAAAACAUUUAUAUCAUAACAGGUAUCUCAUAUAUAGUCUAUGUUUAUGCAAAGUUUCUUAGAGAAAAAUUAAUUUUCUAGAAAGAAAAAUUUAUCAUUUUAAUUCAAUAAAUUUGCAACUUUAAGAUUUUUUCUUUUCUAAAAAGAUUCCUUUAUGCAAUGGAAUUUUCCCAUUGAUUCUACAAACUGGCAGUGUUUGGAAUAAACAGAUAUAAAUGCCAGAUGAGGAAAUUCAUUAAUUCUUAAAAUAUAUCUAGAAAAUGAAACAUAUUUCAAUAUUCUUAAAAGGGGACAAAGUUAAUAGUUAGCCAUGCAAGAAGAAAUAACUCUUUGCUGCCAUCUGAUGGCAGCCCAUUUUGCCACUGGACUGUUUCUUCUGGUCCCACUUCAAGCCCUGGUGAAGAUAAUAGGUCAGUUUAGCCAAUGAACAGUCUGUUGAGGAUCCAAGAGUAUUUGUUCCAAUUGGCGUAAAACUUCUCUGACCUUCAUAGUUCUUGAAAUGUUCAAUGGUUGCAUUUCUUCUUUAACAAUUAGCAGAUAGAAUGUCAGUAAAAUUCAUGUAAGGGAGGAAGCAGAUUCCUUUGAGACAAGGCAGGAAUAACAAGGAAUCCUGGAGGAGCUCCUCUUCCUGGCUGUUGUCAACUCAGAACUCCUUGGAAACUGCCUGUAACCAGAGAAAGCUCUCUUGUUCCAUCUUCUCAAAUGAUUCCUUGGUACAAACAAUCGAGGCUUUUGAGCACUGAUCAUUCAUUUAACAAAUGUUGAGAUACUUUGGUAAACAAUGAAGACAUGGAACUUACAUUGUAGUAAAGGCAGUAGGGAAAAAAGGAAAUGGAUGAAUAAAUCAAUAGUUGAACAUUUUAACAGCUGUUUUGGAGGCAAAAAGUAUCUGAAGGAAUAUCAGAUAAGAACCUGCAUUAGGAAAAGUGAUCAGAAAAAUGUAACAGUGAAUUUGAGACCUAGAGGAAGAGAAUGAGCUAGUCAUGCAGAAAUUUGGAAUAAGUACAUUCUAGACAUGGAGGAUAGCAUGUGUAAAAGGCAUGAGAUAAGACAGAGCUUGGAAAAUUCAGCACAUAGAGGAUGUUGGAGAGGUAUGUUGAGAUGGGAAGAGUGAUGAAAGAUGAAGCGAGGCCUGGACUUUAGGCUGAAAGACCUUUGGGUUUUGUCAAUGAAACAAACAUUACAUAAAGAUGUUAUUUUAAUCCAUGAUAACUGAAAAUACACGAAGGGAGGAGGAUAUAUAUAGUGAAAGAGGACAAAACAAAGCAGGACUAUAGGAAUCACAUCCUGUUAUAUGUGCCUCACACUUGUUUUCUUUCUCUCAACCCACUGACUGUGACUGUAUAGUAUGCAACCCAUUUUUUAAGCCUCCAGCUAUGUAACAAACUGUAAUCUCUAUCCCAUCUUCUAGGUCUGACCUCCAACCUGCUUCUGUCUGAAGAUUGAUCAGUAGCCAUUGCAGGUGAAUUAUAUUUUCCAUCUGUGGGCCCUGUUUCCUAGUUUCUUUUUGCAGUCAGAGUCCUGAAUCUGGAUAACUGUCCACUCUGGCUUUUGGCCAGAUCCAAACAAACUUAAGUCUAUGCCAGUAGAUUGGGUGACCUGAGGAUUUCUAUGAAGGAAGGGUGUCAUGAAAAAUCUCCAUGAAAAAUAAAAUUUCUCAGGUUCUAGUCUUAGAAGUCUGUUCAUUUUGGAAAGUAGAAAUUUGCUAGUAAAAAGAAAAUAUCUGCAUGGAAUUAGUGAUUUCUGAUCUUUAUUUUUAUCGCUUUAAUUCAUGCCAUUCUGCUAUGUUGAAUAUACCCAUAUAUCUUCUCUGAAUAUUAACAUAUCACUUAUUCUGAAAGCACAUGCAAAUUCUAUAUCUUAACACUAGAAUGAAUUUAAAAGGGAUAGAAAAAACCUAGAGACCACAUGGAAAAUAUUUUUUCUUGUAUACAAUUUGCCACAAAAAAAAAUGACUUCUCACAUUCAUAUUCUAAGAGUUCUAAAACGUAUAUUUGAUACUUUCAACUGAAUAAAUGCUAUUAGAAAUUGUGAAUAAAUUGUUUUCUUAUACUCCAAUCAGCAACAAAGAUUAGAGGGUCAGAUUUAAGUGUCCAUUGAGUCUACUGUUCACAAAAAUUCUAAUAAAUAAUGAUUUUAAACAAAACAGCAAUUUCCUUCUGGACUCCUUUCUUCCCUAGCUGGAUGGUGGCACAUCUGACUUUAGCCUUCAUUCUUUUCUGAGUCUUAUCAUUUGAAAUGAUUAAGUAAUUUUAACUAUAAAAUAAUUUUUUUCCUUUUAAUCACAUUUGCAUGGUAGUUUUAAGUUUCCCUUCUAUCCAAAUAAAUACUGAUAAAUUGGUUUAAAACGUUCUGUUUUCAAGUAAGUAAACAAAUCUUUGCAGUUGAGGAAGAGCUCAAAGUCACAAAGUACAAAAAGAAAACCCAUGGAAGCCUUUCAAGGACUGUCUCUUUUUGUUCUGGCUUUGGACAAUGUUAGAGUGCAAGUACUAUUUUGCUUUGCUCAAAUUCAAAGCUUGUUUAUUAUUUCAGGGAAAAAAAUCUUACAAAUAAUAAAUGCAAAUUUAUAAACCCCACUAACUUCCUUUGACCACAGUAUAAG
Molecule: long non-coding RNA, 5471 nt
Filed under: Canis lupus familiaris (dog)
Lineage: Eukaryota; Metazoa; Chordata; Mammalia; Carnivora; Canidae
Description: lncRNA (ENSCAFG00030021909.1)
Source: RNAcentral